AUUGAACGCUGGCGGCAUGCCUUACACAUGCAAGUCGAACGGCAGCAUGGAGAGCUUGCUCUCUGAUGGCGAGUGGCGAACGGGUGAGUAAUGCAUCGGAGCGUACCGUGUAAUGGGGGAUAACGUAGCGAAAGUUACGCUAAUACCGCAUACGACCUGAGGGUGAAAGCAGGGGAUCGCAAGACCUUGCGUUAUACGAGCGGCCGAUGUCAGAUUAGCUAGUUGGUGAGGUAAAGGCCCACCAAGGCGACGAUCUGUAGCGGGUCUGAGAGGAUGAUCCGCCACACUGGGACUGAGACACGGCCCAGACUCCUACGGGAGGCAGCAGUGGGGAAUUUUGGACAAUGGGGGCAACCCUGAUCCAGCCAUGCCGCGUGAGUGAAGAAGGCCUUCGGGUUGUAAAGCUCUUUCGGCCGGGAAGAAAUCGCACAGGCUAAUACUCUGUGUGGAUGACGGUACCGGCAUAAGAAGCACCGGCUAACUACGUGCCAGCCGCCGCAGUAA
RNAcentral lists this ribosomal RNA (504 nucleotides) under uncultured bacterium. Its description in RNAcentral is "partial 16S ribosomal RNA". It matches the Rfam family "Bacterial small subunit ribosomal RNA", at positions 30 to 523 of the family's 1533-position model. The record is from RNAcentral.